Molecule: long non-coding RNA, 236 nt
Filed under: Lathyrus oleraceus (garden pea)
Lineage: Eukaryota; Viridiplantae; Streptophyta; Magnoliopsida; Fabales; Fabaceae
Description: Pisum sativum (pea) long non-coding RNA (PSAT_LNC016857)
Source: RNAcentral
GAUCACCAACACGGGCACCCGUGUAGAUGCACACGGCCCGUGUUGUUUUGUACGGGAUGGAUUUUUGAAAUUUUUGAAUUUUUUUGUUUUAAGUGGUGGGACCCACUGGACUUAUAACUCAUCUCCACCACUUAUCCUUCAUUAUUCUGGUUUUACAAGACUCUCAUUCUCUCUUCCUCCAUUGUUAACCUAGCCUCCACCACCAAAAGCUUCAGUUUUCACCACUAUAAACUCCA